This 210-nucleotide long non-coding RNA is filed under the name Ananas comosus (pineapple). Its description in RNAcentral is "long non-coding RNA (ACOM_LNC034841)". Lineage: Eukaryota; Viridiplantae; Streptophyta; Magnoliopsida; Poales; Bromeliaceae. The record is from RNAcentral.
UGUAAUAGCCGAAUUUUUUAUCUCGAAUUUUUAAUUGGUGAACGUAUAAUAUCCGUAUAAAUCAUGUAUCCGAAUAAUUGGUGAAUCCGUCUUUUUAGCCGUAUUUUUCAAUGAAUUUAAAAUUAGAAGACGAAUUUUAUCCGAAUUAUACCCGUACCGAAUUUUUGCCGAAUCCGAAUUAACUAACUAUAUUUGAUCGUCACGGUAUGU